RNAcentral lists this ribosomal RNA (759 nucleotides) under uncultured Eikenella sp. Its description in RNAcentral is "bacterial SSU rRNA". It matches the Rfam family "Bacterial small subunit ribosomal RNA", at positions 28 to 776 of the family's 1533-position model. Lineage: Bacteria; Pseudomonadati; Pseudomonadota; Betaproteobacteria; Neisseriales; Neisseriaceae. The record is from RNAcentral.
AUUGAACGCUGGCGGCAUGCUUUACACAUGCAAGUCGAACGGCAGCGGGGUAGUGCUUGCACUACUGCCGGCGAGUGGCGAACGGGUGAGUAAUAUAUCGGAACGUACCGAGUAAUGGGGGAUAACCAAUCGAAAGAUUGGCUAAUACCGCAUACGUCCUGAGGGAGAAAGCGGGGGAUCGCAAGACCUCGCGUUAUUCGAGCGGCCGAUAACUGAUUAGCUAGUUGGUGGGGUAAAGGCCUACCAAGGCGACGAUCAGUAACGGGUCUGAGAGGACGAUCCGCCACACUGGGACUGAGACACGGCCCAGACUCCUACGGGAGGCAGCAGUGGGGAAUUUUGGACAAUGGGGGCAACCCUGAUCCAGCCAUGCCGCGUGUAUGAAGAAGGCCUUCGGGUUGUAAAGUACUUUUGUUAGGGAAGAAAAGGGAAGUGCUAAUACCACUUUUUGCUGACGGUACCUAAAGAAUAAGCACCGGCUAACUACGUGCCAGCAGCCGCGGUAAUACGUAGGGUGCGAGCGUUAAUCGGAAUUACUGGGCGUAAAGCGAGCGCAGACGGUUAUUUAAGCAGGAUGUGAAAUCCCCGGGCUCAACCUGGGAACUGCGUUCUGAACUGGAUAGCUAGAGUGUGUCAGAGGGGGGUAGAAUUCCACGUGUAGCAGUGAAAUGCGUAGAGAUGUGGAGGAAUACCGAUGGCGAAGGCAGCCCCCUGGGAUAACACUGACGUUCAUGCUCGAAAGCGUGGGUAGCAAACAGG